Molecule: ribosomal RNA, 253 nt
Filed under: uncultured bacterium
Lineage: Bacteria
Description: partial 16S ribosomal RNA
Rfam family: Bacterial small subunit ribosomal RNA
Source: RNAcentral
UACGUAGGGUGCGAGCGUUAAGCGGAAUUGCUGGGCGUAAAGCGUGCGCAGGCGGUUUUGUAAGCCAGAUGUGGAAUCCCCGGGCUUAACCUGGGAAUGGCAUUUGGGACUGCAAGGCUUGAGUGCGGCAGAGGAGACUGGAAUUCCCGGUGUAGCAGUGAAAUGCGUAGAUAUCGGGAGGAAUACCGAUGGCGAAGGCAGGUCUCUGGGCUGACACUGACGCUCAUGCACGAAAGCGUGGGGAGCAAACAGG